Molecule: ribosomal RNA, 468 nt
Filed under: uncultured bacterium
Lineage: Bacteria
Description: partial 16S ribosomal RNA
Rfam family: Bacterial small subunit ribosomal RNA
Source: RNAcentral
GACGAACGCUGGCGGCGUGCUUAACACAUGCAAGUCGAGCGGAAAGGCCCUGCUUUUGUGGGGUGCUCGAGUGGCGAACGGGUGAGUAACACGUGAGUAACCUGCCCUUGACUUUGGGAUAACUUCAGGAAACUGGGGCUAAUACCGGAUAGGAGCUCCUGCUGCAUGGUGGGGGUUGGAAAGUUUCGGCGGUUGGGGAUGGACUCGCGGCUUAUCAGCUUGUUGGUGGGGUAGUGGCUUACCAAGGCUUUGACGGGUAGCCGGCCUGAGAGGGUAACCGGCCACAUUGGGACUGAGAUACGGCCCAGACUCCUACGGGAGGCAGCAGUGGGGAAUAUUGCACAAUGGGCGGAAGCCUGAUGCAGCAACGCCGCGUGCGGGAUGACGGCCUUCGGGUUGUAAACCGCUUUCGCCUGUGACGAAGCGUGAGUGACGGUAAUGGGUAAAGAAGCACCGGCUAACUACGUG